Molecule: ribosomal RNA, 1352 nt
Filed under: Meyerozyma guilliermondii
Lineage: Eukaryota; Fungi; Ascomycota; Pichiomycetes; Serinales; Debaryomycetaceae
Description: small subunit ribosomal RNA
Rfam family: Bacterial small subunit ribosomal RNA
Source: RNAcentral
UAUAAAUUAAUAAAAUAAAUGAGAACAUGAUGUUGGUUCAGAUCUAAUGCUAUGUAGAGGCAUAACACAUGCAAAUAAUUUAUAUAUUUAUAUAUAUAAAUUGUGAUAAGGUGAGUGACAAUGUAUAAAAAAAAUUAUACAUUACAGAUGUAGGUAUUAGAUGUAAAAAUCUAGCCAUGGAACUGGAGCCGGCGAUUUUCGUCACAACGGCCACAUAACUUCGAUAGAGGUUACUCUUAUUAAGAGCAGCAGUGGGGAAUCUUUGACAAUGAUCUAACGAUUGAUCAAGCUAUCUACGAGAAGGAAAUUAUAUAAAUAAUUUUAUAUCUCCCUUCGGGGGGAAAUAUUAUUAGAUUAAAUAAUUAAAGGAAAACUAUAAACUUCUAAGUAUAUAUAAUAAUGAUAUAUAUAUGAAAAAGUCCUAACUAAAACAUGUGCCAGCAGCUGCGGUUAGACAUGGAGGGCUAGCAUUGUUCGGAAUGGCUUAAAGAACCUGUAGAACGAUUUAUAAUUAAAAUAAAUUAGAAUAAAUUAUAAAGUGAUAUGAAAUAAAGUUAGAGGGAUGAAAUACAACGAAAACAUUAUGACAGCAAUAAAAUCACAAUAAUUUAUUGACGUUGUGAGGUGAAGGCUACGGGCGCAACAUGGAUUCGAUACCCAUUUAGUCGUAGCAGUGAACUAUGAAUACAAUAAAAGAAAAGUGAAAAUGAAUAGUAUUCCGCCUGACUAGUACGCUCGCAAGGGUGAAAUACAAGACAUUAGACGGUUGUAGUCAUGAGCAGUGGAACAUGUCGUUUAAUUGGAUAAUCCUCCUAAAAUCUUACCAUCUCUUGAAUAUCUUACAGGCGUUACAUCGUUGUCGUCAGUUCAUGCCGUGAGGUUUAAUAUUUAGUUAUUUAAUGAACGUAAUCCCUUAUAUAUAUCUUUAUAUAUUAAGCAUUAUUGAGAAAUAAUGGGAAGUCGGGGCCGAAGACUAAUCAUGAUGACCCUUAUGAGAUGGGCUAUAGACGUGUUACGAAGUUAUUGACAAUUAUAUUUAUAUUAUAAAUUAAUUUAAAUAUUAAACAAUAAGAUUAUGACAUAGUUACUUUCAUGGAUUGUAGUCUGAAAUUCGAUUACAUGAAGGAGGAAUUGCUAGUAAUCGCGAACUAGAGUGUCGCGGUGAAAUUUUUAACUACUUCGUACUAACCACUCAUCAACAGCAAGAAACUCUUACUUUCCUUACAUUUUUAACUUUUAAUUAAGUUAAAUUUGACCUAGGUUUGUUUACAAGUGACCUGCUGUAAGUUGAAAUACGGUUCGGUUAGGGGAACCUGAUCGGGUUUUAUUAUUUUUAAAUAUAUUCUACUCAA